UGGUCUGUAUGUCAAGUGUGUUGCUGAUUGGUCAGUAAAUAAAUCACUGAUUGGCCAUUGGCUAGGCAGGAAGUAUAGGCGGGACAAGGAGAAGAAUUCUGGGAAGUGGAAGGCUGAGGGAGAGACACUGCCAGCCACCACCAUGACAAGCCGCAUGUGAAGAUACUGGUAAACCACGAGCCAUGUGGCAAGAGGGCCAGCCUGAAACAAGCAACAGAACAGGGAAGAGACCGGAGUCUGGUGCAAUCAAGAGCAAUAUUGGCAUGGCGUGUGAAUGCUCAAGCAGUUUAAAAAAAAAAAAAGCCAGACCACCAAACCUAGCUGAGCCCAUGGCAUGACCCACCCGAGGUAGGAGCUUUGGAACUUCCUUUGAUGGAGCGGAGGACCUGGACCCUGGGUAGAGAUCUCAACAUGGUCUGUCUGUGUCCUCCCUGCAACAAACCUGCCAGUCUGGCUGGCCUGAGGAAAUGUCUGCUCCGUCGACUGCCUUUCCCACUCUUAGGGUCAAUUUCCUUGAGACCCUUGUACCAGAUAGUUGAAACGACGUUGCAGCAUCGCAACACCCCACCC
Molecule: long non-coding RNA, 570 nt
Organism: Peromyscus eremicus (cactus mouse)
Lineage: Eukaryota; Metazoa; Chordata; Mammalia; Rodentia; Cricetidae
Exons: 3
Source: RefSeq, a predicted model, not a curated record